AUGAACGCUGGCGGCGUGCCUAAUACAUGCAAGUCGAGCGAACGGGCGAGAAGCUUGCUUCUCUGAUGUUAGCGGCGGACGGGUGAGUAACACGUGGAUAACCUACCUAUAAGACUGGGAUAACUUCGGGAAACCGGAGCUAAUACCGGAUAAUAUUUUGAACCGCAUGGUUCAAAAGUGUAAGACGGUCUUGCUGUCACUUAUAGAUGGAUCCGCGCUGCAUUAGCUAGUUGGUAAGGUAACGGCUUACCAAGGCAACGAUGCAUAGCCGACCUGAGAGGGUGAUCGGCCACACUGGAACUGAGACACGGUCCAGACUCCUACGGGAGGCAGCAGUAGGGAAUCUUCCGCAAUGGGCGAAAGCCUGACGGAGCAACGCCGCGUGAGUGAUGAAGGUCUUCGGAUCGUAAAACUCUGUUAUUAGGGAAGAACAUAUGUGUAAGUAACUGUGCACAUCUUGACGGUACCUAAUCAGAAAGCCACGGCUAACUACGUG
Molecule: ribosomal RNA, 496 nt
Filed under: uncultured bacterium
Lineage: Bacteria
Description: partial 16S ribosomal RNA
Rfam family: Bacterial small subunit ribosomal RNA
Source: RNAcentral